Molecule: long non-coding RNA, 299 nt
Organism: Prionailurus viverrinus (fishing cat)
Lineage: Eukaryota; Metazoa; Chordata; Mammalia; Carnivora; Felidae
Exons: 3
Source: RefSeq, a predicted model, not a curated record
UCCCACUACCCAUUCUCCUGCUUUACUCUCCAGAAUCUCCCCACCCUCCGCACAGCUUGCGCCUUCCUGUGUGUCUACCGGAGAAGAGACGAAGUCGAAGAAUGUAAACUCCACAAGGACAGAGGUUUUUGUCUGCGAGCAGAUUGGCACAGACACCUAUGACACUGCCUAGUAGGUGCCAGAAAUGUAUAUUGAAUGAAUGAGAAUGCAUCACAGCUAAUAAAGGUCACACUCAAAACUUUCUGCUCCCAAAGCCCACUGCUCCAGCUUGAGAAAGUUGUGGAGGCUCCGAUUCAGGC